RNAcentral lists this ribosomal RNA (253 nucleotides) under uncultured bacterium. RNAcentral describes it as "partial 16S ribosomal RNA". It matches the Rfam family "Bacterial small subunit ribosomal RNA", at positions 524 to 776 of the family's 1533-position model. The record is from RNAcentral.
UACGAAGGGGGCUAGCGUUGCUCGGAAUCACUGGGCGUAAAGCGCACGUAGGCGGCUUUUUAAGUCAGGGGUGAAAUCCUGGAGCUCAACUCCAGAACUGCCUUUGAUACUGAGAAGCUUGAGUCCGGGAGAGGUGAGUGGAACUGCGAGUGUAGAGGUGAAAUUCGUAGAUAUUCGCAAGAACACCAGUGGCGAAGGCGGGUCUCUGGACAGUUCCUGACGCUGAGGCACGAAGGUCAGGGGAGCAAACGGG